CGCGGCGGCAGAGAUAGAGAGCUCAAGACGAUGAUGCGAUGAUCAAAAGGAUUGCAACCAUAAUGAUGGAGGCCGGCUGCGACAGGACUGAGCUGUCUUCUCCCAGUUUGCUCUCAUCAAUGUCAAGUCUUCCCUGACAGACAGAGUGAGAUGGAAGAUGGAAGGAUUCCCCCCCCCCAAAUCGUACACCAACACUCCAUUUAAACAAAAGGCGCUAAUCCAUUCUAUGACGACGUCCUACGCAACCGUUUUCACUGUGGAUUAGCCUCACCGGGCUGCCUGAGCGUUUGCGGUUGAGUCUCUGCGAAUGUUCGUUGUUUGUGUUUGCUUGUUGUUUGCUGGUGUUUGUUUCUCAGCUUCUCUUGUUUGGCCAGGUGAUGUUUCCUGCUGGAGAGGCUGUCUGCGUUGAAUUCAGGCCUCAUGCUCCUGCUACAGUGGUCUGACUCAGUAGAGUCUACAGUUAUCGAGCUGCCUUGUGGCCUUGCUGCAUGAGAACCGAGCGAUUAAGGAAUCCUUUCCAGCUAAUCACCCUGGACUCCAGCACUUCCGCUGCGCUGAUUACUGAGGAAAUCAUUAGAAGAAAAAAGUGCCUGGAUCUUUCAUCGUGGCCAGCCCGACUCCAGGGAGGUCAGUGAGGGGUGUGUUUGAUAGGCCAUUUAGUCUUGCUGCUCCUAUUAUUCCAGCAUUUCCUCUAUCUGCACGCUGGAUGUGGAUGUCUUGCCUCCCCCAGACCCUAAUCAUUCCCAUACUGGUGUCUUGGAGUUUUGAGUUCACCCCAGACCUUCGUCUUCGUAGGGUUAGAGGGGCUCCUAGCUCCUAUCUCGCCCUCUCUUCCUCCCUCUUAGUCACCCCAUCCCCCCAAAACUGUCUGAUCCCAAGCACCAUGCAGCCUCUCAUGGGUACUAUCACAGAUGGCACUAACGACGUGGUCCCGAGCAGAGGAGGCGGUUCGCUGCUAGACUGGUGACAUAUGCUCGGUCGCAGGACGAUCAGCCGAGCAGAACACUGCCCAGACGUCCAAAAAGACAAUUCCCCCCCCACACACACACACACACACCCAAACACAACACAGCCCCCUCUAAAACAGACACUCACUGUCUUCUACUUCAGCCAGUGUUUUGUUUUGUUUAUCAUGGACCAGGCCCCCUCCAUUGUCUCCGCAGAACCCCCCUCUUGAUGGAUGACCUCCUAGUUCAGUGUUUAGGGUCCCUCCCCAGUGUCCCCUCUGUCCCCCUGGGAGGGCUGAGGAGGAUGGGGGUGACAGAACAAGUUAAUUUCCCAGCAUGCCGUGAGUGCAUACAGAGCAGAUAUCAUGAGGAUUUGCACAGAAGGGUGACAGAAUGUAUCAGCCAUGCUGAAUCUACUGAGAUAUAAUGGGAAGAGAACCUGCCCUACACGACUGUGUCCUGUGGUCAUUCUGCAGCUUUGUCUUGUCCAAAA
RNAcentral lists this long non-coding RNA (1440 nucleotides) under Salmo salar (Atlantic salmon). Its description in RNAcentral is "lncRNA (ENSSSAG00000116701.1)". Lineage: Eukaryota; Metazoa; Chordata; Actinopteri; Salmoniformes; Salmonidae. The record is from RNAcentral.